CCUACGGGGGGCAGCAAUUAGGAAUCUUGCACAAUGGGGGAAACCCUGAUGCAGCGACGCCGCGUGAGGGAUGACGCAUUUCGGUGUGUAAACCUCUUUUGACAGGGAAGCGGUACCUGUCGAAUAAGCCCCGGCUAACUACGUGCCAGCAGCCGCGGUAAUACGUAGGGGGCGAGCGUUGUCCGAAUUUACUGGGCGUAAAGCGCGCGUAGGCGGCUAUUUAAGUCUGGGGUGAAAGGUUCAAGCUCAACGUGAACAGUGCCUUGGAUACUGGGUGGCUUGAGUCUGGGAGAGGGUAGUGGAAUUCCUGGUGUAGCGGUGAAAUGCGUAGAUAUCAGGAGGAACACCGGUGGCGAAGGCGGCUACCUGGCCUAAACUGACGCUGAGGUGCGAAAGCGUGGGGAGCGAACGGGAUUAGAUACCCUUGUAGUC
Molecule: ribosomal RNA, 432 nt
Filed under: uncultured bacterium
Lineage: Bacteria
Description: partial 16S ribosomal RNA
Rfam family: Bacterial small subunit ribosomal RNA
Source: RNAcentral